GCUGACUUAGCUCAAUUGGUAGAGCAACUGAUUUGUAAUCAGUAGGUUGCGGGUUCGAGUCCCAUAGUCAGCA
RNAcentral lists this transfer RNA (73 nucleotides) under Beta vulgaris subsp. vulgaris (sugar beet). It matches the Rfam family "tRNA". From Rfam's summary of the family: Transfer RNA (tRNA) molecules are approximately 80 nucleotides in length. Their secondary structure includes four short double-helical elements and three loops (D, anti-codon, and T loops). Further hydrogen bonds mediate the characteristic L-shaped molecular structure. tRNAs have two regions of fundamental functional importance: the anti-codon, which is responsible for specific mRNA codon recognition, and the 3' end, to which the tRNAs corresponding amino acid is attached (by aminoacyl-tRNA synthetases). tRNAs cope with the degeneracy of the genetic code in two manners: having more than one tRNA (with a specific anti-codon) for a particular amino acid; and 'wobble' base-pairing, i.e. permitting non-standard base-pairing at the 3rd anti-codon position. Lineage: Eukaryota; Viridiplantae; Streptophyta; Magnoliopsida; Caryophyllales; Amaranthaceae. The record is from Rfam by way of RNAcentral.